This 491-nucleotide ribosomal RNA is filed under the name uncultured bacterium. Its description in RNAcentral is "partial 16S ribosomal RNA". It matches the Rfam family "Bacterial small subunit ribosomal RNA", at positions 29 to 507 of the family's 1533-position model. The record is from RNAcentral.
GUGCACGCUGGCGGUAGGCCUAACACAUGCCAGUCGAACGGCAGCACAGUAAGAGCUUGCUCUUACGGGUGGCGAGUGGCGGACGGGUGAGGAAUACAUCGGAAUCUACUUUUUCGUGGGGGAUAACGUAGGGAAACUUACGCUAAUAACGCAUACGACCUACGGGUGAAAGCAGGGGAUCUUCGGACCUUGCGCGAUUGAAUGAGCCGAUGUCGGAUUAGCUAGUUGGCGGGGUAAAGGCCCACCAAGGCGACGAUCCGUAGCUGGUCUGAGAGGAUGAUCAGCCACACUGGAACUGAGACACGGUCCAGACUCCUACGGGAGGCAGCAGUGGGGAAUAUUGGACAAUGGGCGCAAGCCUGAUCCAGCCAUACCGCGUGGGUGAAGAAGGCCUUCGGGUUGUAAAGCCCUUUUGUUGGGAAAGAAAAGCAGCAGGUUAAUACCCCGCUGUUCUGACGGUACCCAAAGAAUAAGCACCGGCUAACUUCGUG